RNAcentral lists this ribosomal RNA (418 nucleotides) under uncultured bacterium. RNAcentral describes it as "bacterial SSU rRNA". It matches the Rfam family "Bacterial small subunit ribosomal RNA", at positions 28 to 447 of the family's 1533-position model. The record is from RNAcentral.
GACGAACGCUGGCGGCGUGCUUAACACAUGCAAGUCGAGCGGUAAGGCCCUUUCGGGGGUACACGAGCGGCGAACGGGUGAGUAACACGUGGGUGACCUGCCCUCAGCUCUGGGAUAAGCCUGGGAAACCGGGUCUAAUACCGGAUAUGACUCCAUGACGCAUGUUGUGGGGUGGAAAGCCUUGUGCGGCUGAGGAUGGGCCCGCGGCCUAUCAGCUUGUUGGUGGGGUGAUGGCCUACCAAGGCGACGACGGGUAGCCGGCCUGAGAGGGCGACCGGCCACACUGGGACUGAGACACGGCCCAGACUCCUACGGGAGGCAGCAGUGGGGAAUAUUGGACAAUGGGCGCAAGCCUGAUCCAGCGAUGCCGCGUGUGUGAAGAAGGCCUGCGGGUUGUAAAGCACUUUCAGUAGGGAAG